Molecule: ribosomal RNA, 253 nt
Filed under: uncultured bacterium
Lineage: Bacteria
Description: partial 16S ribosomal RNA
Rfam family: Bacterial small subunit ribosomal RNA
Source: RNAcentral
UACGGAGGGAGCUAGCGUUGUUCGGAAUUACUGGGCGUAAAGCGCACGUAGGCGGCUUUGCAAGUUAGAGGUGAAAGCCUGGGGCUCAACUCCAGAAUUGCCUUUAAGACUGCAUCGCUCGAAUCCAAGAGAGGUGAGUGGAAUACCGAGUGUAGAGGUGAAAUUCGUAGAUAUUCGGAAGAACACCAGUGGCGAAGGCGGCUCACUGGCUUGGUAUUGACGCUGAGGUGCGAAAGCGUGGGGAGCAAACAGG